Molecule: long non-coding RNA, 3501 nt
Organism: Solanum pennellii
Lineage: Eukaryota; Viridiplantae; Streptophyta; Magnoliopsida; Solanales; Solanaceae
Exons: 3
Source: RefSeq, a predicted model, not a curated record
UAAAACCUUUCAACUUUAUAUUUUUCUCCAUACUAAAAUUUAUAAUUUCUUCAAGAACAAAAUUUUCUCCUAUCAUCAAAUUUUCCCCAAAACUUUUAGGUCAUUGCUCCAAAUCUAAGACUUUCAAAGGGCUCACAAAUUAACAAGUCUUGUUGGUGAACAUGAUCGAAUAAAUUUCAUUACUUCAGACGAUGGUGUCUUAAGGCUUCAUCAUAUUGAAAGGAUUUGGUUGAAAUGGAGUUUCUCAGUUCAUGUGAAAUUAGAAGAAAAGAAGGAAGAUCUAGGUGAGAAUCGAUGGAUAAGUUCAUGCAGACUUCUCUACCGCAUAUCUUGGAGAUGCAUUGACUCUCAGCUAUCAAACUCUUGUGUCACUGUCCUCCUUUUAACCGGUUUCCUUGCCACGAUUCUUAUGCCUGUCCUUAAGAAUGAUUUUAUCAAGUAAGUGGAUUAUCCUUCGUUUUCAAAAAGAAAACUAACUACAGUAAAAAUAACUCCUAUAUUUGUCAUACUACUUUUUGGCUGCUACAACAAAAUAUUGUUGCAUAUCUUAUAAUAAUUCAUCAUUCCAAAGAAAACGUGUCCGCUAUAGAGAGUUCUGACUAUAUCUGAUUGUCUCGAGAAAUAACUCUUUCAAUUGACAAUGUAUGCCAAAAUGUAUGCACAUGAUGAAGAAGCAUUUAACGAUCAAGGGAAGACAGGAUGGAAGUACAUACACGAUGAUGUCUUUAGGUUCCUGAAACACAAUUCAUUGUUUGCUUCAACACUUGGUUGUGGUGCUCAACUCUUUACUUUCUUAAUCUCCUCUGAAAUCUGUUGUUAUGAUAAAUUAAGUCUAAUACAAGAAACAUUUGUAUUAUUGUAUAUUAUGUAUCUUGUACAUAACAAUUUUUAUAUUCAUGAUGGCGCUUGUCCGGGUGUUGUGUCCUUACAAUUGAGGAUCUCUAUUCACUGCCCUGAUUUUAAAAUAUGCACUCACUUCUUGCGUUGUUGGAUACACAUCAUCCUCUUUCUAUUGCCAGCAUGAAGAAACUAAUAUUGUAUGUGCUGUAAUAUCCUCAUAAAUGUUGAGAUAUUGUCAUCUAGACACUAAACUUGUUGUUUCAUUCGAGCUAUCACUAUAAUGUAAACUUAGGUGUAUCAUGCAUUUUUGUUAUCAUAGUUGAUUAAGCAUUAACUAUUUGCUCGAAAGAGAGAAAACGGCAAGUUCAAAUCUCGGGUUGAGAUUACUGUUGUGGAACUCGAGACAAAGAGAAACCUAUUAUGUUGGCUACGAGUUUAGCAGACCCGGUAUCUAUGGUUCAAAUCACCUAUAUUUCUGCAGGUAGCAUAGCAUGUACUCGGUAAAAAUAGUCAAUGGGUCGCAAAAUUUUCUAGACGACAUUGACAUAUUUUAAGAACACCCAUCUGAAUACGAGUCUCACGCAUAUGUGUUCUUCCACAUAAAGAGGUUUAAUGCAAUGAGAUCUAGAGGGCUAUAUACAUCAGGAUGGAUUCAGCCAUUCAGGUAAGAAUACUUGACCUCUUUUUUUCUCACUUCCAUGUUCUUUAAACAUAACUAUUUUUUUACUUUCUUGUAGUUUGUUACUCGUUAUUGUAACUCAAGUUAUGCUAACAAGAACAACAUUCGAAAGAUGGAUUUGUGGUAGACUUAUAUGAUUUAUUUUCUCACUCAUAUCCCUUUUUUUCUGGUUCUUCUUUGUUUCUAGUUGGCUUAUUUGAUUGUUUGGAAAACAUUUUUCUGCAUGUACACUAAUUGUUGAGGUAAUUUUUCAAAAAUUCUUUUUUGCCUAAUCCGUAGCUGCUUGAACAUUUUACUAAUUAGAAUCUGAUUCCUCCUCUAUAAAAGGAGGAUACUGCUGGUAAAUCUUGUUGGUUUGUUAGUUUUGGAAAGGAGGUUUCUCUGCUUUAACAUGCUUUAAAACUUUUCGCUUUUGUAUGUUUUGGAGAGCUUUGCUGUGACUUUAUUAUUAUGAAUCAAUUUUAGAUUUGUUAGUUUUGUAGAACAUUACUGUUGUUACUCAAUUUUAGAUUUGUACUAAGGAGAUUUUCAGUUUAUGGUUGCUCUGUUGUGACUUUAUUUUUAUGGAUUAGUUUGACAUACUGUGAAUUGAGCAUAUUAAAUAGACAUGAUUUAUUUUACCAACAUAAAUUUUUAUUUUGAAUGUACAGGAAAAUGUCUAUAAUUGAAUUUGAAUUGUAUGUGUACAAAAGUAAACUCGAUCUACUGUAGUGAAUGAUGAAGAGUUUUUGUAUUUUCAUGUAUGUUUGAAUGCAUUUGUUUUUUUUGGAUUUAUUGAUAUUAGAGAUCUUUAAGCUAUAAGUUUUGAUUAUACAAGACAUGUUUCUCGAAGUUUAUUUGAAAUGUAUAACUUCGAUUUAACUAUUAGUUAAUUUUGUGUUCUAGGUCAUUUUUAUGUGUAGUUGUGUGAUUAUAUAUUGAGUAUAUGCAAUUCAAAAGUAUAAAGUUACAUUUUACAAGUGUUUAUUUAGAUGACAUAUAAAAGACAACCCUUUUGAAGUGUAACCAAUAAAACUGCAAAGGCAACACUUUUAAGUAUAGUAUUAAAAAAAUAGGUGUACCUAAUGCAUCAAAACAAAGUGUGCCCUUAUACCUCUUUUGCUACGCUUGAUAAGUGUAACCACAGCUAGUGACAUUUAAAAAGUGUUGUCUAAUCUUAAAGGUUACGCUUCUUUAGGCCACCCCCUAAAUGGUGUUGCUUAAAGUUCAAAAGUGUACCCUUUUAUCAAAGGUGACAGUUUUUGCUAGUUUAGGCUACACUUUAUUUGGGUGGGCGUUGGCUUAAAAUGGUGUAGUGCUUCUUAGGUACACUUGGUGGAAGUAGUAUUAUGAGAUUCUUCCUACACAUUGCAUUAGUGUUAUUCAGGAGUUGUCUUAGAUGAUGGUCCUUGUGUGAAGUUUAUGUCUAUGAGGUGAUUAAGUCUUAUGAAUAUAUGUGGUUGUGUUAUGAAUCAUUUUAUGAAAGUCUAUUGUAAGGUGACUUCAUGGUGAUACAUUGUACAAGUUCACUAGAGGGUUACUUAAGGAAAGAAGUAAAAUAAAAGAGAGGUAAUGUACUAUAUGAAUUGAAUAUGCCUUAAAGUAUGAUAAAUGGCUCUAUGUGCUAUUAUGACUAGUAUCUAUGUCAAUAUGAUGUAUGUGAACUAUAUUGAGCUUACAUGUUGCUAUGUUCAUGAAGUUUACUUAAAAGACAUGUUGCAUAAUUUCAAAUGAUUUGUCCUCUUUAAAUGCAUGUCUUUGAAUGGUUAUCAUACUUAGUGCAUUAUUGUACUAAUACCAUUCUUCUUCAUCUUUUUACACAAAGUAUAGGUGGUGAUGGCUACAGGAUGUCUCCUACCUGAAGAGCUUGAAUAGAUCUCCCAUGUUCAAUUAAAGGGACCCUUAUUAUUCAAGGGUUGCCUAUGUCAAGAUGCUUAUUUAAGUUGAUGUAAUUACUUAGAUAUUAUUUUAUGUUGCUAAGGGACGUGUCCCUGUCUACUCUA